Molecule: long non-coding RNA, 178 nt
Organism: Sapajus apella (tufted capuchin)
Lineage: Eukaryota; Metazoa; Chordata; Mammalia; Primates; Cebidae
Exons: 3
Source: RefSeq, a predicted model, not a curated record
AUGGGUGAAAUUCACAUAUUCACAUAUAAUUUUCAACCAGAAACAAAAGAGUACAUACUGUAGGUUUGCAUUUAUAUGAUGUUUAAAAAUAAAUUUAAAAUGUGUUGAUCAUGAUCAGGGUAGGUAUGUCCUGGGGUUACUGCCUGGAAAUUAGCUGCAGAGGGACUGCCAGGAGUUU